GAUGAACGCUGGCGGCGUGCCUAAUACAUGCAAGUCGAGCGAACAGACGAGGCGCUUGCUCCUCUGACGUUAGCGGCGGACGGGUGAGUAACACGUGGAUAACCUACCUAUAAGACUGGGAUAACUUCGGGAAACCGGAGCUAAUACCGGAUAAUAUAUUGAACCGCAUGGUUCAUUAGUGAAAGUCGGUUUUGCUGUCACUUCUAGAUGGAUCCGCGCCGCAUUAGCUAGUUGGUAAGGUAACGGCUUACCAAGGCAACGAUGCGUAGCCGACCUGAGAGGGGGAUAGGCCACACUGGAGCUGAGACACGGACAAGAGGACUACGAGAGGGAGCAGUAGGGAAUCUGCGGCAGUGGGCGAAAGCCUGACGGAGCAACGGCGAGUGAGAGAUAGAGGUGUUCGGAUCGUAAAACUGUGUUAUGAGGGAAGAACAAAUGUGUAAGGAAAUAUGCACGUCUUGACGGUACCUAAUCAGAAAGCCACGGCUAACUACGUG
This 497-nucleotide ribosomal RNA is filed under the name uncultured bacterium. RNAcentral's name for it is "partial 16S ribosomal RNA". It matches the Rfam family "Bacterial small subunit ribosomal RNA", at positions 28 to 507 of the family's 1533-position model. The record is from RNAcentral.